Molecule: ribosomal RNA, 253 nt
Filed under: uncultured bacterium
Lineage: Bacteria
Description: partial 16S ribosomal RNA
Rfam family: Bacterial small subunit ribosomal RNA
Source: RNAcentral
UACGUAGGGUGCUAGCGUUGUUCGGAAUCAUUGGGCGUAAAGGGUGCGUAGGCGGGUCUUUAAGUCAGGGGUGAAAUCCUGGAGCUCAACUCCAGAACUGCCUUUGAUACUGAAGAUCUUGAGUUCGGGAGAGGUGAGUGGAACUGCGAGUGUAGGGGUGAAAUUCGUAGAUAUUCGCAAGAACACCAGUGGCGAAGGCGGCUCACUGGCUCAUAUCUGACGCUCAGGCGCGACAGCGUGGGGAUCAAACAGG